Molecule: long non-coding RNA, 348 nt
Filed under: Polistes fuscatus (common paper wasp)
Lineage: Eukaryota; Metazoa; Arthropoda; Insecta; Hymenoptera; Vespidae
Description: uncharacterized LOC122515503
Source: RNAcentral
AACUGCGAAGCGUUGGCGCGUAAACGUGCGAGCUAGUGAAUCCCCUCUCUCUCUUUUUUUUUUUUUUUUUACAGGUUGGUUGGUAGCUAAGUUAGCUUGGUUGGCUAGUUUUCUAUCUCUACUUCGUCUUUCGUUUCGGAGAAAACCGAGAGGAAAACGAUAAAGAAGAAGAAAAGGAGGAGGAGGGAGGAGGAGGAGGAGACUGGUCAGAUAAAUCACAGAGGUUUAUGGAAAAGAUUAAGGAGGAAGAGGAUAGUUCGUUGAACAAUUCGACGAUACUCGACAGUUAGGAAAGUGCUUUCUGAUCGGUCGAUUUCUUUCUUAAAAAAAGAAGAAGAAGAACAAGAA